AUAAUACAAGGUGGAGAGGAAAAAAAAGUGUGUAUGUUUGCACAAAAGGACACUGCCUAUAUUUUAAGUCAUAGAUCUUAAUUUGUGAAACUUUUAAUAUCCUACAUUCACAAACACUCAUAGAAACCAUUGCACUCAGAGUGGGCGGGCUUAAAACCCCUCCCACUCACCCAUUGAUUAAACUGAUGUUUCCCAUGGCCAAUCAGAGCAAGAGGUCACCUUUAACGGCCUUUAACCUUUAAUGCAAAUGAGAGGCACACAGGUAACAGGCCAGUCAGUCUUGUGUAAUGAACCUGUACCUAUAGUUAACUGAAGCGUGUCUAUUUUGCUCUGGAGUGAAGAUUAAAGUUUCACCUGGUGGAGCUAAAGUUUUGCUAGCUAACGUUACGUCACCACUCAACGUGAUAAGUAAGCUCAUGCAAACAAGUUAGCUAGCCUGGAUGAUUUAUGACAGUAUUUAUAUAUGACGGGUCAGCCGAUGAAGACUUCCUUUCCUCUCGUUUGCUCUGAUGGCGUGGGAAAACUGACUGAAUCUGUUUAUCUCUGUCGAGGACACGGUCUACUUUUUCUUCGUGAAAUCGUCCCGGACCCUGGAAAGGACUGUGGUGGAAGUGGAAUCCUUCCCUUUAAGACCUGUCCAAGGGCUUUUGUUGCACUUGCAGUGGCGUGUGUUCCACAAAAUACGUGUUGACAAACAGAAACGGGGCCGCUACGCUGGGACACUGGGAUGAAGUAUGACGCACGAUGACGACCUUGAAGAGAAGUAAAUAUCUACUUAAGUGUUUCCUCCUUGCGUGCCGUGCUCUCAGUGGUGGUGUAGCUCAGGUGCCGUGAGCGGUUAGUGAUGCUCUGAACAAAGGGUGAAGUGUGUGGGAGAGCCUCCAUGAAAGGCUGGUGGAUUCAUUUUUUCUCAGUUUAUCCUGGAUCUCAGCCAGAAAUAGUCCUGUCUGUAAUUUCAUUACCACUAUUUAGUACAUCUAUUUAUUUAGUGACAUCAGCACCGGCGUUUACUCACCGUGCAAGCGAGAGACGUCGGCACUAACUGUGAUUUUUAAUAAGAUGUGUACUUAGUUCCUGUUCUAAUUAGCAUCAUGCCGAAGCCGACUAAUGCACAUUUGAGCUGACAUUGCUUAUAUAAUUUAACAUUACGGGUUUUAAUAAAACACCCUCUUCAUGCUUCAUUUCCACUGAUCACCAGCUGCUGGGUCAAUUGAAUAAUUAAGAAUUUAAUUAAGCUUCAGUUUGGAUCACAAUCUUCUAACACAGGCAAGCCUUGUACUCUAAGCAUCAGUAGCAGAGAUCAAAUAGGGAAGGGAUGAUGUGCCGAGCAAGAAUUUAGAGAUGUGAGCUCUAUCAUGCGCUGAAAUGGAAAGGUCUGAAGUGGCUUAUCUAUUUGAUCUCUGAAUCCUCUGGUUCCACUCCACAGAGUUGGGCUGUUAUUUUUCUGCUUGCCCAUAUUAUACUGCAGAUUCCAGUGCAACCCUCUAAGGUAUGCAGCAUUUCUGUCUGUAUUAUCCCUUUGGACUGCUCUCCUCAUCAUUGCCAGUAUGUAAUACAAUACAUUCUAUUGACUUCUUGGGAAGCAGCUCUCACAGUGAAUUGACUCUGUUGCUAUGGCCUAAAGUAGGCUAAUUUCACUAAAUGGUGCAUGAGUAAAUGUUAAAUGAAGCUACUGAACCCAGCAAUAUGAGACACUGUGUGUCUCCAUAUGUUAACACACAUGUUUUAAUCUUUGUUGUGUGUGCAGUGCUGACUGUCUAUUGUAAUUGGCUGUACUAUUAAACUAUAAAGUGUCUCAGCACAUACACAUCCACUGUGUUACAAUACUGCAUCCUGCAGUUCUAUGAUAUUUGAAUAUGUUCAAAUAGCCAAGCACACAGUGAUGGAGAAGACCUCACAGGAGUUUGUCAUCUAAAAUAAUAUUAAAAAUCAGAAUUUGAAGUGUUGAAUAUGUAGGUGCCAUGGGUAAACACAGCAGCACCAUUUGUUGGACCAACAGUGGUUUAAAGGGGAACCACACUGUGUUGGUGCAAGCAACUCAUUUUGGCUAUCAAAGUGGAUUCAUUAUCAAAAGAUAAUAAAUAAUAACUUCAAUUAACAUUAAAGUUCCCCGGG
This 2115-nucleotide long non-coding RNA is filed under the name Dicentrarchus labrax (European seabass). RNAcentral describes it as "lncRNA (ENSDLAG00005031951.1)". The record is from RNAcentral. Lineage: Eukaryota; Metazoa; Chordata; Actinopteri; Moronidae.